AUUGAACGCUGGCGGCAUGCCUUACACAUGCAAGUCGAACGGCAGCACGGGAGCAAUCCUGGUGGCGAGUGGCGAACGGGUGAGUAAUAUAUCGGAACGUGCCCGGUCGUGGGGAUAACGUAGCGAAAGCUACGCUAAUACCGCAUACGAUCUACGGAUGAAAGCGGGGGAUCGCAAGACCUCGCGCGAUUGGAGCGGCCGAUAUCAGAUUAGGUAGUUGGUGAGGUAAAGGCUCACCAAGCCGACGAUCCUGUAGCUGGUCUGAGAGGACGACCAGCCACACGUGGGACUGAGACGACGGCCAGACUCCGUACGGGA
RNAcentral lists this ribosomal RNA (318 nucleotides) under uncultured bacterium. Its description in RNAcentral is "bacterial SSU rRNA". It matches the Rfam family "Bacterial small subunit ribosomal RNA", at positions 30 to 346 of the family's 1533-position model. The record is from RNAcentral.